RNAcentral lists this transfer RNA (75 nucleotides) under Mycobacterium koreense. RNAcentral's name for it is "Mycolicibacillus koreensis tRNA-Pro". It matches the Rfam family "tRNA". Rfam says of the family: Transfer RNA (tRNA) molecules are approximately 80 nucleotides in length. Lineage: Bacteria; Bacillati; Actinomycetota; Actinomycetes; Mycobacteriales; Mycobacteriaceae. The record is from RNAcentral.
CGGGGUGUAGCGCAACUUGGUAGCGCGCCUGGUUUGGGACCAGGAAGUUGCAGGUUCAAAUCCUGUCACCCCGAC